RNAcentral lists this ribosomal RNA (817 nucleotides) under uncultured bacterium. RNAcentral describes it as "bacterial SSU rRNA". It matches the Rfam family "Bacterial small subunit ribosomal RNA", at positions 8 to 807 of the family's 1533-position model. The record is from RNAcentral.
AGAGUUUGAUCCUGGCUCAGGAUGAACGCUGGCGGCGUGCCUAAUACAUGCAAGUCGAGCGAACAGACGAGGAGCUUGCUCCUCUGACGUUAGCGGCGGACGGGUGAGUAACACGUGGAUAACCUACCUAUAAGACUGGGAUAACUUCGGGAAACCGGAGCUAAUACCGGAUAAUAUAUUGAACCGCAUGGUUCAAUAGUGAAAGACGGUUUUGCUGUCACUUAUAGAUGGAUCCGCGCCGCAUUAGCUAGUUGGUAAGGUAACGGCUUACCAAGGCAACGAUGCGUAGCCGACCUGAGAGGGUGAUCGGCCACACUGGAACUGAGACACGGUCCAGACUCCUACGGGAGGCAGCAGUAGGGAAUCUUCCGCAAUGGGCGAAAGCCUGACGGAGCAACGCCGCGUGAGUGAUGAAGGUCUUCGGAUCGUAAAACUCUGUUAUUAGGGAAGAACAAAUGUGUAAGUAACUAUGCACGUCUUGACGGUACCUAAUCAGAAAGCCACGGCUAACUACGUGCCAGCAGCCGCGGUAAUACGUAGGUGGCAAGCGUUAUCCGGAAUUAUUGGGCGUAAAGCGCGCGUAGGCGGUUUUUUAAGUCUGAUGUGAAAGCCCACGGCUCAACCGUGGAGGGUCAUUGGAAACUGGAAAACUUGAGUGCAGAAGAGGAAAGUGGAAUUCCAUGUGUAGCGGUGAAAUGCGCAGAGAUAUGGAGGAACACCAGUGGCGAAGGCGACUUUCUGGUCUGUAACUGACGCUGAUGUGCGAAAGCGUGGGGAUCAAACAAGAUUAGAUACCCUGGUAGUCCACGCCGUAAAC